GACGAACGCUGGCGGCGUGCUUAACACAUGCAAGUCGAACGGAAAGGCCCUGCUUUUGUGGGGUGCUCGAGUGGCGAACGGGUGAGUAACACGUGAGUAACCUGCCCUUGACUUUGGGAUAACUUCAGGAAACUGGGGCUAAUACCGGAUAGGAGCUCCUGCUGCAUGGUGGGGGUUGGAAAGUUUCGGCGGUUGGGGAUGGACUCGCGGCUUAUCAGCUUGUUGGUGGGGUAGUGGCUUACCAAGGCUUUGACGGGUAGCCGGCCUGAGAGGGUGACCGGCCACAUGGGGAGUGAGAUACGGCCCAGACUCAUACGGGGGGCAGGAGUGGGGAAUAUUGCACAAUGGGCGGAAGCCUGAUGCAGCAACGCCGCGUGCGGGAUGGCGGGCUUCGGGUUGUAAACCGCUUUCGCCUGUGACGAAGCGUGAGUGACGGUAAUGGGUAAAGAAGCACCGGCUAACUACG
Molecule: ribosomal RNA, 466 nt
Filed under: uncultured bacterium
Lineage: Bacteria
Description: partial 16S ribosomal RNA
Rfam family: Bacterial small subunit ribosomal RNA
Source: RNAcentral